ACGAGUAUGUAGCAGAGACCGAAUGUCGGAAACAGCAAAAUAUCGAAAGCAGAAAAGGUAAUUAACCAGUUAAGCUCUGGCGUUCAGACACCCGACCAAGCAAACUGUAGAACAACAAAUGAAACGAUAUACCGUUCAAAGUUUUAACACCAUCAAAAUUCAUUUACAAUGACGUAAUAUCUCACGCGAUUCCAGCGUGUCAGCACUAAAUUCGUGGCAUAUUCGUCGGUCACGUGUUGAUGAAGCGAAUUUCUGUGCCAAAGCUUGAGCCACCAGUGGGACUGGUUUGCCGAGUACACAUUUUAUUUUCAUUUUUUGUGUACAAGUAGCUACAUGUGUAUGGUAUUUAAGUAUGUCUAUAUAUUUUUAUGUGCGAGUAUGUAUCUCCAGUUCGUUGUGCAAACGAGUAAACAAGUAUGUAAGUGAAUAGUAUGUUUGGAUAUGGAUUACAUAUGUACACACUUACAGCCAUGAACAGUUUAAUAACAAAAUUAGCCAUCACCAGCCAUCAAUUCAAAUCGGGAGCCAAUGGAAUGUGUUAUGUGCCAAGGCCAGGUAAUAAUUGUCCACAUCUUCGUUAUGUAAGAAACAGGCCUCCUCUUCAGCUUUUAGAGGCUGUUAUGUGGCCAUGUUUGGAAUGGAAAAUGUCAUUGUAUUGGGCCUACCAAGAGGACAAUGACCCAAAGCAUACGGCUAAAUAUUUUAAGUCUUGGUUUAGUGCCACAAAUGUCAACGAAGUGAAACGGAAACUGCGGUCCCCGGAUCUGAGCUAAUUUGAAAACGUUGGUCUGACGUAGCCGGGGUUAUGAAUAGUUUUUCAAUUUCCCAUCGGACGCGGCUUUGUUGGAAAGCGGUUUCAGUUAUGACAGAGAGAAGAUGAAUUCAUUUCCGAUUGAUGAUGUCGAAAAUGAGAUGGUCCAGUAGUCACAUGCACCAAGUGGCGCAUUCUUACCCGACUUAUG
Anastrepha ludens (Mexican fruit fly) is the source of this 962-nucleotide RNA transcript. RefSeq lists it as uncharacterized. The transcript has 3 exons. NCBI's taxonomy places the organism in Eukaryota, Metazoa, Arthropoda, Insecta, Diptera, Tephritidae. The record is from RefSeq and is a predicted model, not a curated record.